UAACCUGUAGUGUAAAGGUAGCAUUCAAGACUUUGACUCUUGAGGUAUAAGUUCGAAUCUUAUCAGGUUAA
RNAcentral lists this transfer RNA (71 nucleotides) under Winogradskyella sp. PG-2. RNAcentral's name for it is "tRNA-Gln (TTG) (tRNA-Gln-TTG-2-1)". It matches the Rfam family "tRNA". Rfam says of the family: Transfer RNA (tRNA) molecules are approximately 80 nucleotides in length. Their secondary structure includes four short double-helical elements and three loops (D, anti-codon, and T loops). Lineage: Bacteria; Pseudomonadati; Bacteroidota; Flavobacteriia; Flavobacteriales; Flavobacteriaceae. The record is from Rfam by way of RNAcentral.